Non-coding RNA from Blautia hansenii DSM 20583, 75 nucleotides. NCBI's taxonomy places the organism in Bacteria, Bacillati, Bacillota, Clostridia, Lachnospirales, Lachnospiraceae. The record is from Rfam.
CUUGUAGUAAUAACGAAUGGCAAGAAGUCAGCAGAGGUCAUAGUAAACCGAUGGUUGCAAACAUCGGCGAAGGAC